CACAUAUUCGAACUCAGCACACUUUAAUUAUAAACAUACCCAAAAACCAUACAAUUCCCUCCAGUAGUUCAAAAGUUAGGUAAAAGUCCUAUUUGGGACAAAACAGCUUGUUUCAAAUGGUUUGGCAGUGUCCCUGGGACAAUGCCUUGCUGGAGAACAAUGGUAUAGGUAUUAGAGGGGGAGGGGAAGAGACACAUGCUCCCAUGGAAUCAAAGGGCAGAAACAGUCUUUUAAAAGCCAAUAAGCCCAAAUAGUCUUUUUAACUGGCAAAGUCUCCCAGGGACCAUAGUCACAUGACAGGAGGCUGGCAAUUAGUCCUCUCCAGGCACAAGUGGCAAAGGGCACUUCGUCACACAUCUUCCCUUUGGGGGGAAGACUAAACAGGUACCUGACCUUCUGCUGGUCAGUACCUAAGUUAGUCGGGCAGCCCACCCACAAAGAAAAAUACGCAGAGUAUCCCCCCCACAAUAAAUGGUACUGGCCUGUAGGUUCAAGUUUGUAGUGGGACAGCGCAGCACUCUCGGUCUCUCUGGUGCAGCUAGGCAAACUGCUGGUGUUGCUUGGGGGGCAGAGGUCAGCAGCGCUCUGCCCUGCUGCCAGCUCUUGCACUGGGGUAACCCGUGGUAAGUCAGGCUCUGAUACAGGGAAAAAGGGGGGGCCGAGCCUAACAGAGGUCUGCCCAGAUGCCAGCUCUUCUACUGGGAUAGCCUGCAUGGUGUCAGGCUCUGAGCAAGGUACCAGGGUAGGGCAGAGGCCAGCGGCGCUCUGCUCAGGUGCCAGCUCUUCUGCUGGGAUAGCCUGCAGGGUGUCAGGCUCUGGGCAAGGUACAAGGGUAGGGUAGAGGCCAGUGGCGCUCUGCUCAGGUGCCAGCUCUUCUGCUGGGAUAGCCUGCAGGGUGUCAGGCUCUGGGCAAGGUACAAGGGUAGGGCUGAGGCCAGCGGCGCUCUGCUCAGGUGCCAGCUCUUCUGCUGGGAGGGGUCAGUGGGUAUUGCACUGUCCCCAGGACCCGGUCGGGUUGUAGCCGUGGAGGGGAGGGCUUGCUUACCUCCUCCUCCUGGUAUCCCUGCAGGGAUAGUUGGGGAUCUGGACCGCCCGUCCAGCAUCCCUGUAGGACUGGCACAGAGACCACGGUCCCAUCUGCGCCAGUGUGGUUAGGGUUGUUCUCCCCCUCACCCGGUAUCUCCUGCUGCGGUGUGAGAGGGAGGCCGGCUGCCCCCACUCCCCAGGACGCUGGUUGCUGUAUGGUGGAGGGAUCUACCAUCACCUCCUCCUGGAACUCAGGCCGCCGCUGGGGAGAGAGACCAGUUGUCUCCUCUCCCUGUGAGAUGCACUGCUGCUGGGGAUCUGGGCCGGGUACCCAGCAUCCCUGUAGGGCCGGUGGAGAGACCUCUGUCCCAUCUCCACCUGCCAUCUGUGGGCCUUCCCAGGACCGUUCUAUAAGGUUGCUCACCUCUGGGGCUGGUUGGACAGAAGAGGGUACGGUGUACAGGUAAUCCUCUGGGCUAAGGGUCGGUGAUUGGGCUAAGUCGAACAGUUGAUCGUACUCCUAUUCUAGCUCCCAUUCGAUUGUGAUCAGGCGGUUGAUAUCUGGUCCCAGUCCAGUAGUAUCAGGGAGCUCCAGUGCAUGCAAUCGCCAUCCCCAGAUGUCCCAAUGCCGGGACUCCUCGGUGCUGCCAAAGUCACAGUCCUCCUCCAAUGCCUCCUAUAACAGACCAGGGCCAUUGUAAUCACGGCCCUCUGGCCUUUCACUCUCAGCUAUCCAGGGGCACCUCUGGACCGAGUACCACCGUAGCGCACGGUAAGCCUCAUCCAGCCACAGUUCUUUUCUGAUCAACCGCUGCAAUUCCAGCACCCACUCUCUCUGGGACAGAUACCCUAGGAAGGGCCUCCUCAGCGCCGUUUGUUUCUGACUGCACUGUGCUUCGCUUGGGAGAUUCUCUCCCCCUGGACCUUGUGUCCACUCCAAGGCCUCCUGCCAGAGGUCUCGCUGUAUCCCAUCUCUCCAGGCCAGCUCCUCCUCGGCUGAAAUCGGGCCACACUCCUGAGCCAUGGCAUUUUGAAGUCUCCAUAGGAACUCCUCCUCGUAGGGUAACGCUACCCGGGGGCUAGCUUGCUUCAUCCCUUCGAGUUCCUCCAUAGACAGGGGCACUGCACAAGUGCUAGCGUUGCCCUCAAUUAUAAAUCCGUAACUCCACAUGUUAACGGUGUCUCCGAGUUGCUGGUCCUCGCACUAGGACGCCAUCCCGCCGCUGCCACCAAAUGUGACGGAACGCUGGCACUCCGACUGAGUACCUCCGCCAAUCGAUGCGCCUAGUGCUCGCUGAGGACUCCAAGCACUCCAACCGACACCAUCAGCACUGCAGAUCCCACUUCCAGCGAUACAGUUGCGCCAGGGUCUCGCCGUCUCCACCCACCCUGGAUCCACGACCAGGAUCCAGCUCCCAGUGGGUGAACCUCUCCUAAAUCCAGAGAGCAUAGCAGGAACAAAUCAAGCUAUUGCAAGAGCUUACUCUGAGAAGUAAGUGAUUACAGCAAUCCUCAGAGUGUAGGUAUCCCUUCCCCCAAACAUGAGCCAAGGCUUCAAGAAAGGUACAAGAUGAUCUGAUUUUAAUGACCACACACUGGCUUUUAUGCAAGUCCCCAUGCAAGGGGACAUCCCACAGGGUUGGACACAGUACAACCAAUCCUUUACAGGCAAACCGUAAAACACACCCACCACCAACAUACAAUCCCUCCCCUCUGCCUGUGAUAUAAUUACUGAACACAAUGGGUUAAUGUAAUUUAUCACAGGCAGGACAAAUACACUUUAUGCAACAUAUUAAUAACUUCCAAAAUAUACAUGCCACAAACAUAAAUCACAUAUUCGAACUCAGCACACUUUAAUUAUAAACAUACCCCAAAAUCAUACAAUUCCCUCCAGUAGUUCAAAAGUUAGGUAAAAGUCCUAUUUGGGACAAAACAGUUUGUUUCAAAUGGUUUGGCAGUGUCCCUGGGACAACACCCUGCUGGAGAACAAUGGUAUACAGGGAGUGCAGAAUUAUUAGGCAAAUGAGUAUUUUGACCACAUCAUCCUCUUUAUGCAUGUUGUCUUACUCCAAGCUGUAUAGGCUCGAAAGUCUACUACCAAUUAAGCAUAUUAGGUGAUGUGCAUCUCUGUAAUGAGAAGGGGUGUGGUCUAAUGACAUCAACACCCUAUAUCAGGUGUGCAUAAUUAUUAGGCAACUUCCUUUCCUUUGGCAAAAUGGGUCAAAAGAAGGACUUGACAGGCUCAGAAAAGUCAAAAAAUAGUGAGAUAUCUUGCAGAGGGAUGCAGCACUCUUAAAAUUGCAAAGCUUCUGAAGCGUGAUCAUCGAACAAUCAAGCGUUUCAUUCAAAAUAGUCAACAGGGUCGCAAGAAGCGUGUGGAAAAACCAAGGCGCAAAAUAACUGCCCAUGAACUGAGAAAAGUCAAGCGUGCAGCUGCCACGAUGCCACUUGCCACCAGUUUGGCCAUAUUUCAGAGCUGCAACAUCACUGGAGUGCCCAAAAGCACAAGGUGUGCAAUACUCAGAGACAUGGCCAAGGUAAGAAAGGCUGAAAGACGACCACCACUGAACAAGACACACAAGCUGAAACAUCAAGACUGGGCCAAGAAAUAUCUCAAGACUGAUUUUUCUAAGGUUUUAUGGACUGAUGAAAUGAGAGUGAGUCUUGAUGGGCCAGAUGGAUGGGCCCGUGGCUGGAUUGGUAAAGGGCAGAGAGCUCCAGUCCGACUCAGACGCCAGCAAGGUGGAGGUGGAGUACUGGUUUGGGCUGGUAUCAUCAAAGAUGAGCUUGUGGGCCUUUUCGGGUUGAGGAUGGAGUCAAGCUCAACUCCCAGUCCUACUGCCAGUUCCUGGAAGACACCUUCUUCAAGCAGUGAUACAGGAAGAAGUCUGCAUCCUUCAAGAAAAACAUGAUUUUCAUGCAGGACAAUGCUCCAUCACACGCGUCCAAGUACUCCACAGCGUGGCUGGCAAGAAAGGGUAUAAAAGAAGAAAAUCUAAUGACAUGGCCUCCUUGUUUACCUGAUCUGAACCCCAUUGAGAACCUGUGGUCCAUCAUCAAAUGUGAGAUUUACAAGGAGGGAAAACAGUACACCUCUCUGAACAGUGUCUGGGAGGCUGUGGUUGCUGCUGCACGCAAUGUUGAUGGUGAACAGAUCAAAACACUGACAGAAUCCAUGGAUGGCAGGCUUUUGAGUGUCCUUGCAAAGAAAGGUGGCUAUAUUGGUCACUGAUUUGUUUUUGUUUUGUUUUUGAAUGUCAGAAAUGUAUAUUUGUGAAUGUUGAGAUGUUAUAUUGGUUUCACUGGUAAUAAUAAAUAAUUGAAAUGGGUAUAUAUUUGUUUUUUGUUAAGUUGCCUAAUAAUUAUGCACAGUAAUAGUCACCUGCACACACAGAUAUCCCCCUAACAUAGCUAUAACUAAAAACAAACUAAAAACUACUUCCAAAAAUAUUCAGCUUUGAUAUUAAUGAGUUUUUUGGGUUCAUUGAGAACAUGGUUGUUGUUCAAUAAUAAAAUUAAUCCUCAAAAAUACAACUUGCCUAAUAAUUCUGCACUCCCUGUAGGUAUUAGAGGGGGAGGGGAAGAGACACAUGCUCCCAUGGAAUCAAAGGGCAGAAACAGUCUUUUAAAAGCCAAUAAGCCCAAAUAGUCUUUUUAACUGGCAAAGUCUCCCAGGGACCAUAGUCACA
This is a non-coding RNA of Pelobates cultripes (western spadefoot toad), 4715 nucleotides long. The record is from the annotation of a GenBank genome assembly. NCBI's taxonomy places the organism in Eukaryota, Metazoa, Chordata, Amphibia, Anura, Pelobatidae.